Molecule: ribosomal RNA, 1639 nt
Filed under: Rhipicephalus microplus (southern cattle tick)
Lineage: Eukaryota; Metazoa; Arthropoda; Arachnida; Ixodida; Ixodidae
Description: SSU rRNA
Rfam family: Eukaryotic small subunit ribosomal RNA
Source: RNAcentral
CUUUGGGUAACGGGUGCUGUUAUUAGACUACAAGAGUCGUAUCGGGUUCGGGCCGUUGUGGUAGGUGACUCUGGAUAUACUUUUGGCUGAUCGCGAUGGCCCCGAGCCGGCGACGUUUCUUUCAAGUGUCUGCCUUAUCAACUUUCGAUGGUAGGUUGGUUACUUGCUUACCAUGGUUGUUACGGGUAACGGAGAAUCAGGGUUCGAUUCCGGAGAGGGAGCCUGAGAAACGGCUACCACAUCCAAGGAAGGCAGCAGGCGCGCAAAUUACCCACUCCCGGCACGGGGAGGUAGUGACGCGAUGAAAAAUAACAAUACGGGACUCUUUUGAGGCCCCGUAAUUGAAAUGAGUACACUCUAAAUCCUUUAACGAGGAUCAAUUGGAGGGCAAGUCUGGUGCCAGCAGCCGCGGUAAUUCCAGCUCCUCAAUUAGCGUAUACUAAGUGCUGCUGCGGUUAAAAAGCUCGUAGUUGGAUCUCAGUUCCAGACGAGUAGUGCAUCUACCCGAUGCGACGGCUCGGACUGAACAUCAUGCCGGUUCUUUCUUGGUGCACUUCAUUGUGUGCCUCGAGAUGGCCGGUGCUUUUACUUUGAAAAAAUUAGAGUGCUCAACGCAGGCGAGUCGCCUGAAUAAACUUGCAUGGAAUAAUAGAACAAGACCUCGUUUCUGUUCUGUUGGUUUUUGGAAUACGAGGUAAUGAUUAAGAGGGACGGACGGGGGCAUUCGUAUUGCGGCGCUAGAGGUGAAAUUCUUGGACCGUCGCAAGACGAACUACUGCGAAAGCAUUUGCCAAGAAUGUUUUCAUUGAUCAAGAACGAAAGUCAGAGGUUCGAAGGCGAUCAGAUACCGCCCUAGUUCUGACCAUAAACGAUGCCAACCAGCGAUCCGCCUGAGUUACUCAAAUGACUCGGCGGGCAGCUUCCGGGAAACCAAAGUAUUUGGGUUCCGGGGGAAGUAUGGUUGCAAAGCUGAAACUUAAAGGAAUUGACGGAAGGGCACCACCAGGAGUGGAGCCUGCGGCUUAAUUUGACUCAACACGGGAAAACUUACCCGGCCCGGACACUGGGAGGAUUGACAGAUUGAGAGCUCUUUCUUGAUUCGGUGGAUGGUGGUGCAUGGCCGUUCUUAGUUGGUGGAGCGAUUUGUCUGGUUAAUUCCGAUAACGAACGAGACUCUGCCUAGGUGCGGGGUUCCCAGCACCUUACAACCUUCUUAGAGGGACAAGCGGCUCCUAGCCGCACGAAACAGAGCAAUAACAGGUCUGUGAUGCCCUUAGAUGUCCGGGGCCGCACGCGCGCUACACUGAAGGAAGCAGCGUGUCUUUAUCCCUGUCUGAAAAGACUGGGUAACCCGUGGAACUUCUUUCGUGAUUGGGAUAGGGGCUUGCAAUUGUUCCCCUUGAACGAGGAAUUCCCAGUAAGCGCGAGUCAUAAGCUCGCGUUGAUUACGUCCCUGCCCUUUGUACACACCGCCCGUCGCUACUACCGAUUGAAUGAUUUAGUGAGGUCUUCGGACCGAUGUCCGGCGCGGCCUUUAGGUUGCGCCGGUCUGUUGGAAAGAGGAGAGCGAAGGGCGAACUUGAUCAUUUAGAGGAAAGUCAAAAGCGUACACAAGGUUCUAGGAGGUGAACUGCGGAUA